Molecule: ribosomal RNA, 100 nt
Filed under: uncultured bacterium
Lineage: Bacteria
Description: partial 16S ribosomal RNA
Source: RNAcentral
GACACUGCUUUUGUCGGGGAAAAAAUCCUAUUACCUGUAGGGUGUUGAUGGUACCAUGACAAUAAGGAUCGGCUAACUUCGUGCCAGCCGCCCCGGCAAU